CCUACGGGCGGCGGCAGUGGGGAAUAUUGCACAAUGGGGGAAACCCUGAUGCAGCGACGCCGCGUGAGUGAAGAAGUAUCUCGGUACGUAAAGCUCUAUCAGCAGGGAAGAAAAUGACGGUACCUGACUAAGAAGCCCCGGCCAACUACGUGCCAGCAGCCGCGGUAAUACGUAGGGGGCAAGCGUUAUCCGGAUUUACUGGGUGUAAAGGGAGCGUAGACGGCAGCGCAAGUCCGGGGUGAAAUCCCAUGGCUUAACCGUGGAACUGCUUUGGAAACUGUGGAGCUAGAGUGCAGGAGGGGUAAGCGGAAUUCCUAGUGUAGCGGUGAAAUGCGUAGAUAUUAGGAGGAACACCAGUGGCGAAGGCGGCUUACUGGACUGUAACUGACGUUGAGGCUCGAAAGCGUGGGGAGCAAACAGGAUUAGAUACCCUAGUAGUC
RNAcentral lists this ribosomal RNA (440 nucleotides) under uncultured bacterium. RNAcentral's name for it is "partial 16S ribosomal RNA". It matches the Rfam family "Bacterial small subunit ribosomal RNA", at positions 338 to 795 of the family's 1533-position model. The record is from RNAcentral.